RNAcentral lists this ribosomal RNA (651 nucleotides) under uncultured bacterium. RNAcentral describes it as "bacterial SSU rRNA". It matches the Rfam family "Bacterial small subunit ribosomal RNA", at positions 232 to 883 of the family's 1533-position model. The record is from RNAcentral.
UGCGUCUGAUUAGCUUGUUGGCGGGGUAACGGCCCACCAAGCCGACGAUCAGUAAGGGUUCUGAGAGGAGGGUCCCCCACAUUGGACCUGAGACACGGUCCAAACUCCUACGGGAGGCAGCAGUGAGGAAUAUUGGUCAAUGGGCGAGAGCCUGAACCAGCCAAGUAGCGUGCAGGAUGACGGCCCUAUGGGUUGUAAACUGCUUUUAUAAGGGAAUAAAGUGAGCCUCGUGAGGCUUUUUGCAUGUACCUUAUGAAUAAGGACCGGCUAAUUCCGUGCCAGCAGCCGCGGUAAUACGGAAGGUCCGGGCGUUAUCCGGAUUUAUUGGGUUUAAAGGGAGCGUAGGCCGGAGAUUAAGCGUGUUGUGAAAUGUAGAUGCUCAACAUCUGCACUGCAGCGCGAACUGGUUUCCUUGAGUACGCACAAAGUGGGCGGAAUUCGUGGUGUAGCGGUGAAAUGCUUAGAUAUCACGAAGAACUCCGAUUGCGAAGGCAGCUCACUGGAGCGCAACUGACGCUGAAGCUCGAAAGUGCGGGUAUCGAACAGGAUUAGAUACCCUGGUAGUCCGCACGGUAAACGAUGGAUGCCCGCUGUUGGUCUGAAUAGGUCAGCGGCCAAGCGAAAGCAUUAAGCAUCCCACCUGGGGAGUAC